Long non-coding RNA from Clupea harengus (Atlantic herring), 763 nucleotides. NCBI's taxonomy places the organism in Eukaryota, Metazoa, Chordata, Actinopteri, Clupeiformes, Clupeidae. The record is from Ensembl.
AGGCUGCCUCACGAGAUUCCACUCCAUUUACUGUCAGCAUUCAAAAGAGCAAAUGGGACAGCGCCCGAUCCAUGCGGUUCAACCAGGACGCUCAGAGAGAAGACGAUCAGCGGAGGAUGGUGGACAUUAUUGGACAUCUCACAAAGCUGAGGUUUGGUGACUUAGAACAGAGCAAAUCCAAGGACGUGAAAGAGGAGGGAUAUACUCCAGGCUUGAAGCUCAGUUCAGGAGUGCCUCCCAGGGAAGUGGACGACAUAGUAGCUCAGAGAAGGCUCACAGAGCAAAGUUACGCUUCGGGCAAUCAAGACCAACAUAAGAGCUCCAGUACGUGGACUGGAGAAGAAAACAAGACCCUCAGCAAAGUACAGUCCAGCAGGGCCCUCCAGAACCCCCACCCGACAUCUCUCCUCCUGCUCCCGUUCAGCUCCAGAACCGCUCCAAGGCCCACUGUGGCGUUGUCUGGUUCCGGUACACUUCUGGACCCAGGUCCCCAGCCUGCUUGGUCUGCGGUAGCUUAGGUCGUCCUCCUCAUCACCUGACGUAUCUGUGGCUCUAUAGGCCCAGCUCACGUGCCUAUGACUGAUCACCUUUAUUGCGUUCCCUUUUACCUCAUCCAUCUCCGUGCAAGGAUUUAGUAUUUUGCUGAGGGGCCAGCGCUGUGGCGACAUGAAUGAAGGAAUGGUGAAUCUUGAUGGUCAAAUGCCUGAUUCCAUCACUACCUCCUUGUGGCAUGUAGACUUAGACCAUUUGUGCAACACUGAGG